This 489-nucleotide ribosomal RNA is filed under the name uncultured bacterium. RNAcentral describes it as "bacterial SSU rRNA". It matches the Rfam family "Bacterial small subunit ribosomal RNA", at positions 106 to 570 of the family's 1533-position model. The record is from RNAcentral.
GUGCGUAACACGUGGAUAAUCUGCCCUUCGGUUGGGGGACAACAGUCCGAAAGGAUUGCUAAUACCCCGUAAGUCGGCGAGCUCUUCGGAGCAUGCCGGGAUAGAUGGCCUCUAUUUAUAAGCUAUCGACGAAGGAUGAGUCCGCGUCCCAUCAGCUAGUUGGCGAGGUAAUGGCUCACCAAGGCGAAGACGGGUAGCUGGUCUGAGAGGAUGAUCAGCCACACUGGAACUGAGACACGGUCCAGACUCCUACGGGAGGCAGCAGUGGGGAAUAUUGGGCAAUGGGCGAAAGCCUGACCCAGCUAUGCCGCGUGAGUGAUGAAGGCCUUCGGGUCGUAAAGCUCUGUGGGGAGAGAAGAAUCGCCUUAUGGCUAACAUCCAUGAGGUCUGACGGUAUCUCCUUAGCAAGCACCGGCUAACUCUGUGCCAGCAGCCGCGGUAAUACAGAGGGUGCAAACGUUGCUCGGAAUUAUUGGGCGUAAAACGCAC